This 492-nucleotide ribosomal RNA is filed under the name uncultured bacterium. RNAcentral's name for it is "partial 16S ribosomal RNA". It matches the Rfam family "Bacterial small subunit ribosomal RNA", at positions 29 to 507 of the family's 1533-position model. The record is from RNAcentral.
AGUGAACGCUGGCGGUAGGCCUAACACAUGCAAGUCGAACGGCAGCACAGUAAGAGCUUGCUCUUACGGGUGGCGAGUGGCGGACGGGUGAGGAAUACAUCGGAAUCUACUUUUUCGUGGGGGAUAACGUAGGGAAACUUACGCUAAUACCGCAUACGACCUACGGGUGAAAGCAGGGGAUCUUCGGACCUUGCGCGAUUGAAUGAGCCGAUGUAGGAUUAGCUAGUUGGCGGGGUAAAGGCCCACCAAGGCGACGAUCCGUAGCUGGUCUGAGAGGAUGAACAGCCACACUGGAACUGAGACACGGUCCAGACUCCUACGGGAGGCAGCAGUGGGGAAUAUUGGACAAAGGGCGCAAGCCUGAUCCAGCCAUACCGCGUGGGUGAAGAAGGCCUUCGGGUUGUAAAGCCCUUUUGUUGGGAAAGAAAAGCAGCAGGUUAAUACCCCGCUGUUCUGACGGUACCCAAAGAAUAAGCACCGGCUAACUUCGUG